AACGAACGCUGGCGGCAUGCCUAACACAUGCAAGUCGAACGAGACCUUCGGGUCUAGUGGCGCACGGGUGCGUAACGCGUGGGAAUCUGCCCUGGGGUGCGGAAUAACUCGGAGAAAUCCGUGCUAAUACCGCAUAAUGUCUUCGGACCAAAGAUUUAUCGCCCUGGGAUGAGCCCGCGUAGGAUUAGCUAGUUGGUGGGUAAAGCCUACCAAGGCGACGAUCCUUAGCUGGUCUGAGAGGAUGAUCAGCCACACUGGGACUGAGACACGGCCCAGACUCCUACGGGAGGCAGCAGUGGGAAUAUUGGACAAUGGGCGAAAGCCUGAUCCAGCAAUGCCGCGUGAGUGAUGAAGGCCUUAGGGUUGUAAAGCUCUUUUACCAGGGAUGAUAAUGACAGUACCUGGAGAAUAAGCUCCGGCUAACUCCGUGCCAGCAGCCGCGGUAA
RNAcentral lists this ribosomal RNA (446 nucleotides) under uncultured bacterium. RNAcentral's name for it is "bacterial SSU rRNA". It matches the Rfam family "Bacterial small subunit ribosomal RNA", at positions 29 to 523 of the family's 1533-position model. The record is from RNAcentral.